ACGCUGGCGGCAGGCCUAACACAUGCAAGUCGAGCGGUAGAGAGAAGCUUGCUUCUCUUGAGAGCGGCGGACGGGUGAGUAAUGCCUAGGAAUCUGCCUGGUAGUGGGGGAUAACGUUCGGAAACGGACGCUAAUACCGCAUACGUCCUACGGGAGAAAGCAGGGGACCUUCGGGCCUUGCGCUAUCAGAUGAGCCUAGGUCGGAUUAGCUAGUUGGUGAGGUAAUGGCUCACCAAGGCGACGAUCCGUAACUGGUCUGAGAGGAUGAUCAGUCACACUGGAACUGAGACACGGUCCAGACUCCUACGGGAGGCAGCAGUGGGGAAUAUUGGACAAUGGGCGAAAGCCUGAUCCAGCCAUGCCGCGUGUGUGAAGAAGGUCUUCGGAUUGUAAAGCACUUUAAGUUGGGAGGAAGGGCAGUUACCUAAUACGUGAUUGUUUUGACGUUACCGACAGAAUAAGCACUGGCUAACUCUGUGCCAGCAGCCGCGGUAAUACAGAGGGUGCAAGCGUUAAUCGGAAUUACUGGGCGUAAAGCGCGCGUAGGUGGUUAGUUAAGUUGGAUGUGAAAUCCCCGGGCUCAACCUGGGAACUGCAUUCAAAACUGACUGACUAGAGUAUGGUAGAGGGUGGUGGAAUUUCCUGUGUAGCGGUGAAAUGCGUAGAUAUAGGAAGGAACACCAGUGGCGAAGGCGACCACCUGGACUGAUACUGACACUGAGGUGCGAAAGCGUGGGGAGCAAAC
Molecule: ribosomal RNA, 745 nt
Filed under: uncultured bacterium
Lineage: Bacteria
Description: bacterial SSU rRNA
Rfam family: Bacterial small subunit ribosomal RNA
Source: RNAcentral